Molecule: long non-coding RNA, 2106 nt
Organism: Brassica napus (rape)
Lineage: Eukaryota; Viridiplantae; Streptophyta; Magnoliopsida; Brassicales; Brassicaceae
Exons: 8
Source: RefSeq, a predicted model, not a curated record
UUAAAUUAAAAUAAAUUUUAUAAAUAGAUUAAUAUACAAUUAAUUAUAUAGUGGCAUGUAUAAAAUCUAACAAUACUAAAAGUAGGAUAUCAAGCUCUCUAAGCGCGUCUACGUGGGAUUGGAAAUUCAGACCAAUCAGAGAUUGACUUUCUGCCACGUCACUUAUUUCCUCGGUCUGAACCGGAUCAAGAUUUAUGUAUCUGAGAGGGUCCCAUUUUGAGAUCCAUCGUCAAACCCUUCAUCUUCCUGCACCUCCCUUCUUUCAUCAAACGUAUAAAAAAAAUAUCACUCACGAAUAGAUCAACGUUACAUCUCCUUCACUCCUUUAAGGAAAAACCACAUUCAACACACAAUUUUGCCUUCAGUUCCAAAUUAAAUCCCUUCUAAACAUCUCUCUAUUACAUCUACCCUUUCAUUUCAAUCUGAAUCCAGUCAUUUCAUGUAUCUAUGAAAGCUCUCCUAUAAAUUUAGGGCCAAACACGACUAAACCCUCGCCACAAUCCACCGCAAAAACAUGUCGUCAGCAGAUUCGUCUUUCUCAAUUCCCGUCUUCCUUUAUUGAUGAUCUUCAUCAUGAUUUAUGUCUCGGCUUCAUACAUCUCCCUCGACAGUCUCCAUCUGGAUUGAUUCAACGUAUUGGAUUGCAUAUAUGUUGGCUUACGAAAAAGCUGAGAGUUUCAUUCAAGGGAAAUAAAAAGGACGCCACUGAAUUCUUGGAGGAGAUGAAUGAGAAAGAAGCUACAUAGAUGAAAGAAAUCAUGGGUCGAAAGGGGAAUGGAGUUCUAUGUGUCUACCCUCGGGAAAAGAACAUCAAAAAUAUGCUGUCCAUCUCAAAAGAGAAGAAGAAAGAGCACCAACGAGUUCAAGCAGACUUUCUUUCUUAGUUUUGCUUUUUAAGAUUUCAAGAAUAAAAUCAGGUUAGUCCUGUGGAUGGCACCGUUCUGAGGUUCGGGGAGUUAAAAGAAAGUAGAGGGAUGAACGAGCAAGUCAAAGGACAUUCCUACUCAGCACCAGGUCUUCUCGGAACAAACUCACCUUCCCAUGGUACCUGAAGGUAAGGAUGAAUCUGAGAAAGAAGUUGUUGCAGAUAAAAUCGACAAGUCUUGGUUGAGAAUCUCUUUGGCUUCUCCAAAACUACGGGAGAGCAUCUCAGCUAGGGGCUCUAUUAUUGUGUGAUAUACCUAAGACCAGUGGACUAUCAUCGUAUACACUCUCCAGCUGACUGGAAUGCAUUGGUUCGUAGACACUUUGCAGGUCGUACUUGAAGGGAUAUGGAAACAAGGUUUUAUGGCACUUGAUGUUGAUGGUGCGACCAACAUUGGAUCCAUUGAGCUAUUCAUCGAACCUAGGAGCAAGUGUAUGAUCCACAAGGUCAUGGCGUAAAGCUUGAGAAAGGAAAGGAGGUAGGUGUAUUCAACAUGGGAUCAACUGUGGCGGUUCAAACAGUUCCUCAGAUUACAGAUUCUGUGUGAAACUCUGUUUGUUAAUGACAGUGUCUGAAUAUGACCCUUUGACAGGCUAAUAGCGGUUGAGUGUUGGAGCUACCUAGAUGCCUAGAAGAACUCGCUGGCAAGCAAUGCUUCUUUCAUGAUUCAAGUGAAACCAUACAAUUUCACUCCCAACCAUGGCACCUUCACGUACAAUGUCUGCAACUUCUGAGGACGUGUCUGUGAAACUCAUUCAGAGAUAAACAAAGCUUAGUAAAGAAAACAUCUUCAACAGCGGUGAUUGAAAUAACGCAUCUACUUAUUAGUUAUAGGUUGAAAGCAGCAACACAACUCCACAAGCGGCAUGGCAGAUUGCACAACCACCUGCUUCUGGCACCAACCCGAUGGAUGGGGCUACAAAAGGGAUGGACGUUGAUCAACCAACACCACCCAGCUUUGAAGAUGAGGAGAAGAGCCUCAAACGCCCCUGGAGUGAUUGUUGGAAGUACUACAAUUCGUCUUUCCCACCAAGUUUUCUUUUCCUACAUUACAAGCUCUGCGCAAUUACUCUUUUCCGUCGUUUGUGUUUUUCCUAUUUUCUUUUUAAAAUUUCCUGCAACAAGCUCCAUCUGAGAACAUUGUUAUUCUAAUUUAAAUUAAAGGAAGUUUGAUGGCUUAA